Molecule: ribosomal RNA, 497 nt
Filed under: uncultured bacterium
Lineage: Bacteria
Description: partial 16S ribosomal RNA
Rfam family: Bacterial small subunit ribosomal RNA
Source: RNAcentral
GAUGAACGCUGGCGGCGUGCCUAAUACAUGCAAGUCGAGCGAACGGACGAGAAGCUUGCUUCUCUGAUGUUAGCGGCGGACGGGUGAGUAACACGUGGAUAACCUACCUAUAAGACUGGGAUAACUUCGGGAAACCGGAGCUAAUACCGGAUAAUAUUUUGAACCGCAUGGUUCAAUAGUGAAAGACGGUUUUGCUGUCACUUAUAGAUGGAUCCGCGCUGCAUUAGCUAGUUGGUAAGGUAACGGCUUACCAAGGCAACGAUGCGUAGCCGACCUGAGAGGGUGAUCGGCCACACUGGAACUGAGACACGGUCCAGACUCCUACGGGAGGCAGCAGUAGGGAAUCUUCCGCAAUGGGCGAAAGCCUGACGGAGCAACGCCGCGUGAGUGAUGAAGGUCUUCGGAUCGUAAAACUCUGUUAUUAGGGAAGAACAAAUGUGUAAGUAACUGUGCACAUCUUGACGGUACCUAAUCAGAAAGCCACGGCUAACUACGUG